Molecule: ribosomal RNA, 455 nt
Filed under: uncultured organism
Description: partial 16S ribosomal RNA
Rfam family: Bacterial small subunit ribosomal RNA
Source: RNAcentral
CGUACACUCCUACGGGAGGCAGCAGUGGGGAAUCUUACGCAAUGGGCGAAAGCCUGACGCAGCCAUGCCGCGUGAAUGAUGAAGGUCUUAGGAUUGUAAAAUUCUUUCACCGGGGCCGAUAAUGACGGUACCCGGAGAAGAAGCCCCGGCUAACUUCGUGCCAGCAGCCGCGGUAAUACGAAGGGGGCUAGCGUUGCUCGGAAUUACUGGGCGUAAAGGGAGCGUAGGCGGACAUUUAAGUCAGGGGUGAAAUCCCGGGGCUCAACCUCGGAAUUGCCUUUGAUACUGGGUGUCUUGAGUAUGAGAGAGGUGUGUGGAACUCCGAGUGUAGAGGUGAAAUUCGUAGAUAUUCGGAAGAACACCAGUGGCGAAGGCGACACACUGGCUCAGUACUGACGCUGAGGCUCGAAAGCGUGGGGAGCAAACAGGAUUAGAAACCCGUGUAGUCCCAUGAU